Molecule: transfer RNA, 72 nt
Filed under: Camelus bactrianus (Bactrian camel)
Lineage: Eukaryota; Metazoa; Chordata; Mammalia; Artiodactyla; Camelidae
Also listed under: 2 other names
Rfam family: tRNA
About the family: Transfer RNA (tRNA) molecules are approximately 80 nucleotides in length. Their secondary structure includes four short double-helical elements and three loops (D, anti-codon, and T loops).
Source: Rfam by way of RNAcentral
CAAGGCAUAGCUCAGUGGUAGAGUGCGUGCUUAGCAUACACAAUGUCCUGGGUUUGAUCCCUAGUACCUUCA